GUGCCAGCAGCCGCGGUAAGACAGAGGGUGCAAACGUUGUUCGGAAUUACUGGGCGUAAAGCGCGUGUAGGCGGCAGGGCAAGUCGGAUGUGAAAUCCCAUGGCUCAACCAUGGAAGUGCACCCGAAACUGCCCAGCUAGAGUCUCGGAGAGGAAGGUGGAAUGCUUGGUGUAGAGGUGAAAUUCGUAGAUAUCAAGCGGAACACCGGUGGCGAAGGCGGCCUUCUGGACGAUGACUGACGCUGAGACGCGAAAGCGUGGGGAGCAAACAGGAUUAGAAACCCUCGUAGUCC
This 292-nucleotide ribosomal RNA is filed under the name uncultured bacterium. RNAcentral describes it as "partial 16S ribosomal RNA". It matches the Rfam family "Bacterial small subunit ribosomal RNA", at positions 505 to 796 of the family's 1533-position model. The record is from RNAcentral.